This 326-nucleotide ribosomal RNA is filed under the name uncultured eukaryote. Its description in RNAcentral is "partial 18S ribosomal RNA". It matches the Rfam family "Eukaryotic small subunit ribosomal RNA", at positions 1470 to 1796 of the family's 1831-position model. The record is from RNAcentral.
CCCUUAGAUGUCCUGGGCCGCACGCGCGCUACACUGAACGGAUCAGCGCGUUUUCCCUUCCCGAGAGGGACGGGUAACCUGCUGAACCCCGUUCGUGGUAGGGAUCGGGGCUUGCAAUUAUUCCCCGUGAACCAGGAAUGCCCAGUAAGUGCAAGUCAUAAGCUUGCGUUGAUUACGUCCCUGCCCUUUGUACACACCGCCCGUCGUUACUACCGAUUGAACGUUUUAGUGAGGUACUCGGACUGAGCCUCAGAAGAUUCACGUCUUUUGUGCUGCUCGGGAAGAUUCCCAAACUUGAGCGUUUAGAGGAAGUAAAAGUCGUAACA